GCGUCGAUAGUAUAGUGGUCAGUAUAUCAGUUUGUGGAUUAGCAAAUUCACAGUUCACUGACGACGUGAGUUCGAUUCUCACUCGACGCA
This is a non-coding RNA of Ilyonectria robusta, 90 nucleotides long. The record is from the annotation of a RefSeq genome assembly. Lineage: Eukaryota; Fungi; Ascomycota; Sordariomycetes; Hypocreales; Nectriaceae.